Molecule: ribosomal RNA, 253 nt
Filed under: uncultured prokaryote
Description: partial 16S ribosomal RNA
Rfam family: Bacterial small subunit ribosomal RNA
Source: RNAcentral
UACAGAGGGUGCGAGCGUUAAUCGGAAUUACUGGGCGUAAAGCGUGCGUAGACGGUUAUUUAAGUCGGGUGUGAAAGCCCCGGGCUCAACCUGGGAAUUGCAUUCGAGACUGAAUAGCUAGGGUACGGUAGAGGGAAGCGGAAUUUCCGGUGUAGCGGUGAAAUGCGUAGAUAUCGGGAGGAACACCUGCGGCGAAGGCGGGUUGCUGGGCUGAUACUGACGCUGAUGCGCGAAAGCCAGGGGAGCGAACGGG